This 433-nucleotide ribosomal RNA is filed under the name uncultured bacterium. RNAcentral's name for it is "bacterial SSU rRNA". It matches the Rfam family "Bacterial small subunit ribosomal RNA", at positions 917 to 1349 of the family's 1533-position model. The record is from RNAcentral.
GGGCCCGCACAAGCGGUGGAGCAUGUGGUUUAAUUCGAUGCAACGCGAAGAACCUUACCUACUCUUGACAUCCUGCGAAUUUGGUAGAGAUACCUUAGUGCCUUCGGGAGCGCAGAGACAGGUGCUGCAUGGCUGUCGUCAGCUCGUGUUGUGAAAUGUUGGGUUAAGUCCCGUAACGAGCGCAACCCUUGUCCUUAUUUGCCAGCGCGUAAUGGCGGGAACUCUAAGGAGACUGCCGGUGACAAACCGGAGGAAGGUGGGGACGACGUCAAGUCAUCAUGGCCCUUACGAGUAGGGCUACACACGUGCUACAAUGGUCGGUACAAAGGGUUGCCAACUCGCGAGAGUGAGCCAAUCCCGAAAAGCCGAUCUCAGUCCGGAUCGGAGUCUGCAACUCGACUCCGUGAAGUCGGAAUCGCUAGUAAUCGCAGGU